GAUGAACGCUGGCGGCGUGCCUAAUACAUGCAAGUCGAGCGAACGGACGAGAAGCUUGCUUCUCUGAUGUUAGCGGCGGACGGGUGAGUAACACGUGGAUAACCUACCUAUAAGACUGGGAUAACUUCGGGAAACCGGAGCUAAUACCGGAUAAUAUUUUGAACCGCAUGGUUCAAAAGUGAAAGACGGUCUUGCUGUCACUUAUAGAUGGAUCCGCGCUGCAUUAGCUAGUUGGUAAGGUAACGGCUUACCAAGGCAACGAUGCAUAGCCGACCUGAGAGGGUGAUCGGCCACACUGGAACUGAGACACGGUCCAGACUCCUACGGGAGGCAGCAGUAGGGAAUCUUCCGCAAUGGGCGAAAGCCUGACGGAGCAACGCCGCGUGAGUGAUGAAGGUCUUCGGAUCGUAAAACUCUGUUAUUAGGGAAGAACAUAUGUGUAAGUAACUGUGCACAUCUUGACGGUACCUAAUCAGAAAACCACGGCUAACUACGU
RNAcentral lists this ribosomal RNA (496 nucleotides) under uncultured bacterium. RNAcentral describes it as "partial 16S ribosomal RNA". It matches the Rfam family "Bacterial small subunit ribosomal RNA", at positions 28 to 506 of the family's 1533-position model. The record is from RNAcentral.